CUAGGACUAUGCUCGUGUUCUGAUUUUGUAAUAAUCAGGGCAGGCUAAACAUCCUCUCUAAUAAGACCAUGUAUGUGUCCCCAGACCUAGUUCUUUACCCAGGUCUGGUCUUAUAAAUGCUGGUGAUAAUU
This is a small nucleolar RNA of Sorex araneus (European shrew), 131 nucleotides long. Its record names the gene SNORA72. It matches the Rfam family "Small nucleolar RNA SNORA72". From Rfam's summary of the family: U72 is a member of the H/ACA class of snoRNAs. The snoRNA gene is located in intron 4 of the ribosomal L30 protein gene in human, mouse and chicken. Lineage: Eukaryota; Metazoa; Chordata; Mammalia; Eulipotyphla; Soricidae. The record is from Ensembl.